This 672-nucleotide long non-coding RNA is filed under the name Equus asinus (donkey). RNAcentral describes it as "lncRNA (ENSEASG00005038448.1)". The record is from RNAcentral. Lineage: Eukaryota; Metazoa; Chordata; Mammalia; Perissodactyla; Equidae.
CACAGGGACUUUGCACUUGCUCUUCCUGCCGCCUAAAACCUUCUUACCCCAGGUAUCUGCAUGGCUCAUUCUCACCUUCCUUGGACUCUGCUCAAAUGUCAUCAGAGAAGCCCUCACAGAUAACACUAAAUGAACCAGAGGUGCUUCAUCCAUCACUUUCUCUCCCCUGACCCAAGGACCAGCUACAUGCUUUGAGGGGCCCAGUGCAAAAUGGAAAUGUGAGAUCCUUGGUUCAAAAAGCAAGGGAAAAAAUAUGUGAUGUUAAAGACCUCCAUAGAGGGACCUUUUCUCCUUGGAACUACCUGAGGUUCAGGUAGGUCCCCCCAGCUGAGCAGAAUACUAAAUAAGGCCGCAAAGAUGAGGAUGAACGCCUGCAGGUUCAGGAUGGUGGGAAAGAUGGCACUGGAACAAACGGUAAAAUCUAGCAAGCAGUUUGCAUCGACUCUGCACGACAACCAAAAUAUGCUGUGUUGUCCAAAUGAAAAUUCUCCAAAAUAAUGACAUCAAAAUCAAACCAAGAUAAAGAGCUGGCAUCAUUAUACUUGACAGGCAUAUACAGUACUUAUGCUGAAAUUGAAAUGAUCAAAACUAACCUCAUGGAAAAAUGCCAGCACCCAAAGGUUGUAAGAAAAGUCAUACAAAUCAAAUUUAUAAAGCAAAUAAAUCAAAUUU